This 803-nucleotide ribosomal RNA is filed under the name Pseudomonas arsenicoxydans. Its description in RNAcentral is "bacterial SSU rRNA". It matches the Rfam family "Bacterial small subunit ribosomal RNA", at positions 72 to 873 of the family's 1533-position model. The record is from RNAcentral. Lineage: Bacteria; Pseudomonadati; Pseudomonadota; Gammaproteobacteria; Pseudomonadales; Pseudomonadaceae.
AGAGAAGCUUGCUUCUCUUGAGAGCGGCGGACGGGUGAGUAAUGCCUAGGAAUCUGCCUGGUAGUGGGGGAUAACGUUCGGAAACGAACGCUAAUACCGCAUACGUCCUACGGGAGAAAGCAGGGGACCUUCGGGCCUUGCGCUAUCAGAUGAGCCUAGGUCGGAUUAGCUAGUUGGUGAGGUAAUGGCUCACCAAGGCGACGAUCCGUAACUGGUCUGAGAGGAUGAUCAGUCACACUGGAACUGAGACACGGUCCAGACUCCUACGGGAGGCAGCAGUGGGGAAUAUUGGACAAUGGGCGAAAGCCUGAUCCAGCCAUGCCGCGUGUGUGAAGAAGGUCUUCGGAUUGUAAAGCACUUUAAGUUGGGAGGAAGGGCAGUUACCUAAUACGUAAUUGUUUUGACGUUACCGACAGAAUAAGCACCGGCUAACUCUGUGCCAGCAGCCGCGGUAAUACAGAGGGUGCAAGCGUUAAUCGGAAUUACUGGGCGUAAAGCGCGCGUAGGUGGUUUGUUAAGUUGAAUGUGAAAUCCCCGGGCUCAACCUGGGAACUGCAUCCAAAACUGGCAAGCUAGAGUAUGGUAGAGGGUGGUGGAAUUUCCUGUGUAGCGGUGAAAUGCGUAGAUAUAGGAAGGAACACCAGGGCGAAGGCGACCACCUGGACUGAUACUGACACUGAGGGGCGAAAGCGGGGGAGCAAACAGGAUUAGAUACCCUGGUUGUCCCCGCCGUAAACGAUGUCAACUAGCCGUUGGGAGCCUUGAGCUCUUAGUGGCGCAGCUAACGCAUUAAGUUGACCGCC